UUCAGGCCUAACACAUGCAAGUCGAGCGGUAGCACAGAGAGCUUGCUCUCGGGUGACGAGCGGCGGACGGGUGAGUAAUGUCUGGGAAACUGCCUGAUGGAGGGGGAUAACUACUGGAAACGGUAGCUAAUACCGCAUAACGUCGCAAGACCAAAGAGGGGGACCUUCGGGCCUCUUGCCAUCAGAUGUGCCCAGAUGGGAUUAGCUAGUAGGUGGGGUAACGGCUCACCUAGGCGACGAUCCCUAGCUGGUCUGAGAGGAUGACCAGCCACACUGGAACUGAGACACGGUCCAGACUCCUACGGGAGGCAGCAGUGGGGAAUAUUGCACAAUGGGCGCAAGCCUGAUGCAGCCAUGCCGCGUGUAUGAAGAAGGCCUUCGGGUUGUAAAGUACUUUCAGCGGGGAGGAAGGUGCUGAGGUUAAUAACCUCAGCAAUUGACGUUACCCGCAGAAGAAGCACCGGCUAACUCCGUGCCAGCAGCCGCGGUAAUACGGAGGGUGCAAGCGUUAAUCGGAAUUACUGGGCGUAAAGCGCACGCAGGCGGUCUGUCAAGUCGGAUGUGAAAUCCCCGGGCUCAACCUGGGAACUGCAUUCGAAACUGGCAGGCUAGAGUCUUGUAGAGGGGGGUAGAAUUCCAGGUGUAGCGGUGAAAUGCGUAGAGAUCUGGAGGAAUACCGGUGGCGAAGGCGGCCCCCUGGACAAAGACUGACGCUCAGGUG
This 721-nucleotide ribosomal RNA is filed under the name uncultured Enterobacter sp. Its description in RNAcentral is "bacterial SSU rRNA". It matches the Rfam family "Bacterial small subunit ribosomal RNA", at positions 41 to 753 of the family's 1533-position model. The record is from RNAcentral. Lineage: Bacteria; Pseudomonadati; Pseudomonadota; Gammaproteobacteria; Enterobacterales; Enterobacteriaceae.